Molecule: long non-coding RNA, 392 nt
Filed under: Panicum hallii
Lineage: Eukaryota; Viridiplantae; Streptophyta; Magnoliopsida; Poales; Poaceae
Description: long non-coding RNA (PHAL_LNC000593)
Source: RNAcentral
GAAGCACAUAAGCAGUAGACACUCUUUGUAAAUUUCGAUGUAACUGGAGCUGUAAUAAUCCAUUUCCGUUGUUUUUGUGACAAUAGAAAUCAAAACUGAUCACUACAGAAAAUUGAUCACUGGCUAAUAAAAAGUAUAGAGGUUACAGACCAAAGAUAUACAAUCAGGCUACCAAGCACUGAGCAAUACUAGCAUACAGAGUACACAUGCUUAUCUUUGCUUCUCUUCCAACCUAAAAACCUCAUAUGAUGUUUUCUUCAUUGUCCAGAAAUUUUCAACUCAUUUUUUUGUUGCACAUAUCAGCUUCAGAUUCGCCUGUAUUGAUGAUAACAUGUCCAUCUUUGUCAGCAGUGCACCGAGUCUUGUUGUUCUCCCUAGCACUGAUUGUUUCC